UGCUUUUAGAAAUAAAUAUUAAAAGUAGAUCUGCCCAGUGAAUUUAGCAAUAGCGAAUUUAUUUUUCAACGGCCGCGGUAUCCCUGACCGUGCUAAGGUAGCACAAUCAUGAGCCUCCUAAUUAGAGGAUAGAAUGAAUGAAUUAACAAGAAAUAUACUGUCUCUUUUAUAAUGAUCGAAAUUUAGAUUUAGGUGAAAACUCCUAUAUUUUUAAUACAGACAAAAAGACCCUAUAAGCUCUUAUCUUAAUAUACUAUUAAUAAAAACAUAUUUAAUUGGGGCGAUUUUAAGUAAUAAACACUUAUUAAACAAAGAGCAAUAGCUCACAAAAUCUAUCUAUAAAGCAAAUAAGUAAGUUACUGUAGGGAUAACAGACUAAUACUUCUUGAGAGCACAAAUCAACAGAAGUGCUUAGUACCUCGAUGUUGGCUUAAGGAUCCCAAUUUAUGCAACCGUAAAAAAGGGGGGUUUGUUCAACCUUUAAUUCCUU
This 490-nucleotide ribosomal RNA is filed under the name Syllis vivipara. Its description in RNAcentral is "partial 16S ribosomal RNA". It matches the Rfam family "Bacterial large subunit ribosomal RNA", at positions 1816 to 2597 of the family's 2925-position model. Lineage: Eukaryota; Metazoa; Annelida; Polychaeta; Phyllodocida; Syllidae. The record is from RNAcentral.